This 480-nucleotide ribosomal RNA is filed under the name uncultured bacterium. RNAcentral describes it as "bacterial SSU rRNA". It matches the Rfam family "Bacterial small subunit ribosomal RNA", at positions 28 to 521 of the family's 1533-position model. The record is from RNAcentral.
GACGAACGCUGGCGGCACGCCUAACACAUGCAAGUCGAGCGGAGAUUGAGAGCUUGCUCUCAUGAUCAGCGGCGGACGGGUGAGUAACACGUGAGCAACCUGCCUUUCAGAGGGGGACAACAGUUGGAAACGACUGCUAAUACCGCAUAACAUUGCCGAACGGCAUCGUUUGGCAAUCAAAGGAGCAAUCCGCUGAAAGAUGGGCUCGCGUCUGAUUAGAUAGUUGGUGAGGUAACGGCUCACCAAGUCGACGAUCAGUAGCCGGACUGAGAGGUUGAACGGCCACAUUGGGACUGAGACACGGCCCAGACUCCUACGGGAGGCAGCAGUGGGGGAUAUUGGACAAUGGGGGCAACCCUGAUCCAGCGACGCCGCGUGAGGGAAGAAGGUUUUCGGAUUGUAAACCUCUGUUGACGGAGAAAAAAAUGAUGGUAUCCGUUUAGAAAAGGCCACGGCUAACUACGUGCCAGCAGCCGCGGU